RNAcentral lists this ribosomal RNA (433 nucleotides) under uncultured bacterium. Its description in RNAcentral is "partial 16S ribosomal RNA". It matches the Rfam family "Bacterial small subunit ribosomal RNA", at positions 29 to 507 of the family's 1533-position model. The record is from RNAcentral.
AACGAACGCUGGCGGCAUGCCUAACACAUGCAAGUCGAACGAGACCUUCGGGUCUAGUGGCGCACGGGUGCGUAACGCGUGGGAACCUGCCCUUAGGCUCGGAAUAACUCCCCGAAAGGGGUGCUAAUACCGGAUAAUGUCUUCGGACCAAAGAUUUAUCGCCUUUGGAUGGGCCCGCGUUGGAUUAGCUAGUUGGUAGGGUAAAAGCCUACCAAGGCGACGAUCCAUAGCUGGUCUGAGAGGAUGAUCAGCCACACUGGGACUGAGACACGGCCCAGACUCCUACGCAAGGCAGCAGUGGGGAAUAUUGGACAAUGGGCGAAAGCCUGAUCCAGCAAUGCCGCGUAAGUGAUGAAGGCCUUAGGGUUGUAAAGCUCUUUUACCCGGGAUGAUAAUGACAGUACCGGGAGAAUAAGCUCCGGCUAACUCCGUG